AAGACACAACAUGCUUGCACUGAAGCCCCUGAUGGUCCAUCUCUGCAGACUCCUGAGAAGGACAUGGAGUACAGCUUCUUGUCUCCAGAUAAUUCUCUACACUGCUGGUUUAUAAUCUUCUUGUGUCUCCUAUUACAGACUGUGGUGGACAAGGCACAAGCCCUAGGAUUUCAGAGGUGAUGAAUAGGACCACAUCUGAUGUAUCUCUAGCUUCAGGGAACCAUUUGCAUGCUGAGCCUGGAUGCUCCCAUUUUAUCAAAGGGAGUGAAUGGGUUUAUGGUGCCAACAAAUCAGGUAAGGCAGGUUAUAAAGCAGGUGAGGUAAGUAAAGUAUUUCAAAGUCCA
This is a non-coding RNA of Cricetulus griseus (Chinese hamster), 344 nucleotides long. The record is from RefSeq and is a predicted model, not a curated record. Lineage: Eukaryota; Metazoa; Chordata; Mammalia; Rodentia; Cricetidae.